UACGUAGGGGGCAAGCGUUGUUCGGAAUCACUGGGCGUAAAGGGCGCGUAGGCGGCCGAUCAAGUCGGGGGUGAAAGCCUGUGGCUCAACCACAGAAUUGCCUUCGAUACUGUUUGGCUUGAGACCGGAAGAGGUUAGUGGAACUGCGAGUGUAGAGGUGAAAUUCGUAGAUAUUCGCAAGAACACCAGUGGCGAAGGCGGCUGACUGGUCCGGUUCUGACGCUGAGGCGCGAAAGCGUGGGGAGCAAACAGG
This 253-nucleotide ribosomal RNA is filed under the name uncultured bacterium. Its description in RNAcentral is "partial 16S ribosomal RNA". It matches the Rfam family "Bacterial small subunit ribosomal RNA", at positions 524 to 776 of the family's 1533-position model. The record is from RNAcentral.